GAACGCUGGCGGCAGGCCUAACACAUUCAAGUCGAACGAACUCUUCGGAGUUAGUGGCGGACGGGUGAGUAACACGUGGGAACGUGCCUUUUGGUUCGGAAUAACUCUGGGAAACUUGUGCUAAUACCGAAUGUGCCCUUCGGGGGAAAGAUUUAUCGCCAUUAGAGCGGCCCGCGUCUGAUUAGCUAGUUGGUGAGGUAACGGCUCACCAAGGCGACGAUCAGUAGCUGGUCUGAGAGGAUGACCAGCCACACUGGGACUGAGACACGGCCCAGACUCCUACGGGAGGCAGCAGUGGGGAAUCUUGCGCAAUGGGCGAAAGCCUGACGCAGCCAUGCCGCGUGAAUGAUGAAGGUCUUAGGAUUGUAAAAUUCUUUCACCGGGGACGAUAAUGACGGUACCCGGAGAAGAAGCCCCGGCUAACUUCGUG
Molecule: ribosomal RNA, 430 nt
Filed under: uncultured bacterium
Lineage: Bacteria
Description: partial 16S ribosomal RNA
Rfam family: Bacterial small subunit ribosomal RNA
Source: RNAcentral